This is a long non-coding RNA of Limulus polyphemus (Atlantic horseshoe crab), 920 nucleotides long. RefSeq lists it as uncharacterized. The record is from RefSeq and is a predicted model, not a curated record. The transcript has 2 exons. NCBI's taxonomy places the organism in Eukaryota, Metazoa, Arthropoda, Merostomata, Xiphosura, Limulidae.
GCAACAGGUGGUUUGCAACCCAGAGGUACUCAAAUUAUGAACUGGUACUUGUUCCGAGUAACAAGUACAUUUUGCUUCUACUGUCUAGUAGUGUUCUAUACGAAACAUAGUCUGACUUUCACGUGAUGAUGCUAGUUAAAAAGCGCAUGUUUUCUGUUACAUUUAUGUGCUGCUGCCAUGAAUUUAAAACUUUAAUAAUUGGAUUGAAAAAAGCCAGUUGGUUUCAAAUUAAAAUAGUGUACUAGUCGAGGAAGUUGUUUAAGUCGACAAGUACGUUGUGGUGCAGUGUGCAUAACCUUUCACUCCUUUCUUUCGACCUAUGAUUCCUUGUUAAUGUAGGCGAUGUCUUUGCUGCACACGUCUUUCGGUGUAGAACGCUGGCACACUGCUUGUAUCGUGAGCAGCUUCUAGAUUUGAUAGUGUGUCGUGAGCAGCUCAAUUAAUCUGACAUAAAAUCUCGUUAUUUUACUUUAUAAAGAAAGUUCUAACAACGAAGUUUUGUGUGACCUCUACUGAAAAUUGGUGUUGACAAAAGUUUGUUGGUACAUCAUAUGAUCCCUCUCUCCAUCUACUUAACUUUGGACUUCCUUUCUUGAGGCGGAGAUUGUACAACCAUACCAUGUCAACUUGAUGUAAUCCAGUCUUAUCAGCAUGAACAUAAUAAUGACUUUUUGUUUUAUUUAUUACUAAAUUAGUUAAUUGUUUCAUGUUAAAUUCAUGUCUACUGUCAAUGGUGUUCUUUAAUGUCUGUAGUCUCUACAUAUUCCGUGCAAUACUCUUUUUGACUCUUCUCCAAGUAAGAGUACAGAAAUUCUGAUAGCACCUUAAGUCCUCUACCAAACAUCACUAAUGAUGGUGUGCUGCCUGUACAUUUAUUUACUACUGAAUGGUAAUUCAUUAAUAAAAAUGGAAGAUCUUGA